Molecule: ribosomal RNA, 312 nt
Filed under: uncultured eukaryote
Lineage: Eukaryota
Description: partial 18S ribosomal RNA
Rfam family: Eukaryotic small subunit ribosomal RNA
Source: RNAcentral
CCCUUAGAUGUUCUGGGCCGCACGCGUGCUACACUGAGUGGAUCAGCGGGUCAGGUUGCGCGAAAGCGUUUCCUAAUCUUUAAAUCCGCUCGUGAUGGGGAUUGACGGUUGCAAUUUUCUGUCAUGAACGAGGAAUACCUUGUAAGCGCGGGUCAUCAUCCCGCGCUGAAUACGUCCCUGCCCUUUGUACACACCGCCCGUCGCACCUACCGAUUGAAUGGUCCGGUGAAGUCCUCGGACCCAGUUGAACCUCGAGUUGAACAGGGAAAGUUGACUAAAUCUUACCAUUUAGAGGAAGGUGAAGUCGUAACA